This 392-nucleotide unclassified non-coding RNA is filed under the name Hevea brasiliensis (rubber tree). Lineage: Eukaryota; Viridiplantae; Streptophyta; Magnoliopsida; Malpighiales; Euphorbiaceae. The record is from RNAcentral.
CUUGGAUGCUGCCGUGUGGGCUGAGGAGAAUCCAGUCGAGAACAUAGUUCGAGAAGACAGUCCUCCAGUUGAAAAAGGUUUUGCAAAUAGCUCAUCAUGAUGUAUUUAUCCUAGUUUGGUAUUGAAGAUGCAUAAGAUUCUAGGUUGAUUCCUGAUCAUCUUCAAUUGGUCUUCACGUUAGUAUCACAUGUCAGGUCAGAGAGGAGAAUUCUCCUCUUAGAUCAAAAUAGUGAUCCAGGGGAUAGAAUACACAUUUUCAGUUCUUCUGUAUGUUGCAUAGUAAAAUCAUAAAAUCAAUGUAAGAUAUCUUGCAGGGGAAAUAGCUAGAAAAAUAAGAAAAGUUGUAAAGUUUAGGGAUUUUUAUAUGAUUAAGAUCAGGAUGAUUUUACUAU